AUGAACGCUGGCGGCGUGCCUAAUACAUGCAAGUCGAGCGAACAGACGAGGAGCUUGCUCCUCUGACGUUAGCGGCGGACGGGUGAGUAACACGUGGAUAACCUACCUAUAAGACUGGGAUAACUUCGGGAAACCGGAGCUAAUACCGGAUAAUAUAUUGAACCGCAUGGUUCAAUAGUGAAAGACGGUUUUGCUGUCACUUAUAGAUGGAUCCGCGCCGCAUUAGCUAGUUGGUAAGGUAACGGCUUACCAAGGCAGCGAGGCGUAGCCGACCUGAGAGGGUGAUAGCCCACACUGGAACUGAGACACGGUCCAGACUCCUACGGGAGGGAGCAGUAGGGAAUCUUCCGCAAUGGGCGAAAGCCUGACGGAGCAACGCCGCGUGAGUGAUGAAGGUCUUCGGAUCGUAAAACUCUGUUAUUAGGGAAGAACAAAUGUGUAAGUAACUAUGCACGUCUUGACGGUACCUAAUCAGAAAGCCACGGCUAACUACGUG
RNAcentral lists this ribosomal RNA (496 nucleotides) under uncultured bacterium. RNAcentral describes it as "partial 16S ribosomal RNA". It matches the Rfam family "Bacterial small subunit ribosomal RNA", at positions 29 to 507 of the family's 1533-position model. The record is from RNAcentral.